ACCUGAUGGUGUGGCCAUUUAUGAAGUAGGUCCCUAGAACGCUCCCAGGUCUCAAAGAAAAGUUCUCCAUUUGUUUGUGUGAAACUUGUGAUUGCCCUUCACAGCU
Molecule: small nucleolar RNA, 106 nt
Organism: Malania oleifera
Lineage: Eukaryota; Viridiplantae; Streptophyta; Magnoliopsida; Santalales; Ximeniaceae
Source: RefSeq, a predicted model, not a curated record